AACGAACGCUGGCGGCAUGCCUAACACAUGCAAGUCGAACGAGACCUUCGGGUCUAGUGGCGCACGGGUGCGUAACGCGUUGGAACCUGCCCUUAGGUUCGGAAUAACUCCCCGAAAGGGGUGCUAAUACCGGAUAAUGUCUUCGGACCAAAGAUUUAUCGCCUUUGGAUGGGCCGGCGUUGGAUUAGCUAGUUGUUAGGGUAAAAGCCUACCACGGCAAGGAUCCAUAGCUGGGCUGAGAGGAUGAGCAGCCACACUGGUACUGAGACACGGCCCAGAAUACUAGGGGAGGAAGCAGAGGGGAAUAUUGGAAAAUGGGCGAAAGGCUGAACCAGCAAUGACGGGUGAGUGAUGAAGGCCUUAGGGUUGUAAAGCUAGUUUACCCGGGAUGAUAAUGACAGUACCAGGAGAAUAAGCACCGGCUAACUCCGUG
This 433-nucleotide ribosomal RNA is filed under the name uncultured bacterium. RNAcentral describes it as "partial 16S ribosomal RNA". It matches the Rfam family "Bacterial small subunit ribosomal RNA", at positions 29 to 507 of the family's 1533-position model. The record is from RNAcentral.